This 451-nucleotide ribosomal RNA is filed under the name uncultured bacterium. RNAcentral describes it as "partial 16S ribosomal RNA". It matches the Rfam family "Bacterial small subunit ribosomal RNA", at positions 29 to 523 of the family's 1533-position model. The record is from RNAcentral.
AACGAAUGCUGGCGGCAGGCUUAACACAUGCAAGUCGAACGGGUGUAGCAAUACACCAGUGGCAGACGGGUGAGUAACACGUGGGAACCUUCCUAGAGGUACGGAACAACGCAGGGAAACUUGUGCUAAUACCGUAUACGCUCUUGCGAGGAAAGAUUUAUCGCCUUUAGACGGGCCCGCGUAGGAUUAGGUAGUUGGUGAGGUAACGGCUCACCAAGCCUACGAUCCUUAGCUGAUCUGAGAGGAUGAUCAGCCACACUGGGACUGAGACACGGCCCAGACUCCUACGGGAGGCAGCAGUGGGGAAUCUUGGACAAUGGGCGCAAGCCUGAUCCAGCCAUGCCGCGUGAGUGAAGAAGGCCUUCGGGUUGUAAAGCUCUUUUGUCAGGGACGAUAAUGACGGUACCUGAAGAAUAAGCCCCGGCAAACUUCGUGCCAGCCGCCGCGGUAA